This 454-nucleotide ribosomal RNA is filed under the name uncultured bacterium. RNAcentral describes it as "partial 16S ribosomal RNA". It matches the Rfam family "Bacterial small subunit ribosomal RNA", at positions 28 to 507 of the family's 1533-position model. The record is from RNAcentral.
GAUGAACGCUGACAGAAUGCUUAACACAUGCAAGUCAACUUGAACUUCGGUUUGGGUGGCGGACGGGUGAGUAACGCGUAAAGAACUUGCCUCACAGCUAGGGACAACAUUUGGAAACGAAUGCUAAUACCUGAUAUUAUGAUUAUAUGGCAUCGUAUAAUUAUGAAAGCUAUAUGCGCUGUGAGAGAGCUUUGCGUCCCAUUAGCUAGUUGGAGAGGUAACAGCUCACCAAGGCGAUGAUGGGUAGCCGGCCUGAGAGGGUGAUCGGCCACAAGGGGACUGAGACACGGCCCUUACUCCUACGGGAGGCAGCAGUGGGGAAUAUUGGACAAUGGACCGAGAGUCUGAUCCAGGAAUUCUGUGUGCACGAUGAAGUUUUUCGGAAUGUAAAGUGCUUUCAGUUGGGAAGAAAAAAAUGACGGUACCAACAGAAGAAGUGACGGCUAAAUACGUG